Molecule: ribosomal RNA, 894 nt
Filed under: marine metagenome
Description: bacterial SSU rRNA
Rfam family: Archaeal small subunit ribosomal RNA
Source: RNAcentral
GAGACACGAAUCCAGACCCUACGGGGUGCAGCAGGCGCGAAAACUUGGCAAUGCGAGAAAUCGUGACCAGGGAACUCCAAGUGCAUCGGGUAAGACCGAUGCUUUUCUUGACUCUUCAAAGGUCUUGGAAUAAGGGGUGGGUAAGGACGGUGCCAGCCGCCGCGGUAAUACCGGCGCCCCAAGUGGUAGUCGCUUUUAUUGGGCCUAAAACGUCCGUAGCCGGUCUGGUACAUUCGUGGGUAAAUCAACCAGCUCAACUGGUUGAAUUCUGCGAGCACGGCCAGACUUGGGACCGGGAGAGGUGUGGGGUACUCUCAGGGUAGGGGUAAAAUCCUGUCAUCCUGAGAGGACCACCUGUUGCGAAGGCGCCACACUAGAACGGAUCCGACGGUCAGGGACGAAGCCUAGGGGCACGAACCGGAUUAGAUACCCGGGUAGUCCUAGGUGUAAACGCUGUGGACUUGAUGUUGGGAGCGCUCCGAGCGCCCUCAGUGUCGAAGCGAAGGUGAUAAGUCCACUGCCUGGGGAGUACGGUCGCAAGGCUGAAACUUAAAGGAAUUGGCGGGGGAGCACCGCAACCUGAGGAUUGUGCGGUUUAAUUGGAUUCAACGCCGGAAAACUCACCAUAGCCGACGGACAUAUGAAGGCCAGCGUAAUGAGCUUGCCGGAUUGUUCGAGAGGUAGUGCAUGGCCGUCGUCAGUUCGUACCGCAAGGCGUUCUGUUAAGUCAGAUAACGAACGAGACCCUCAUCCCUAUUUGCUAACCUGAUCUCCGGAUCAGGCGCACUAUAGGGAGACCGCUGGCGCGAAGUCAGAGGAAGGCGAGGGCAACGGUAGGUCAGUAUGCUCCGAAUGCUAUGGGCUACACGCGCAAUACAAAGGACGGGACAAUGG